Lolium rigidum is the source of this 777-nucleotide long non-coding RNA. RefSeq lists it as uncharacterized. The record is from RefSeq and is a predicted model, not a curated record. Lineage: Eukaryota; Viridiplantae; Streptophyta; Magnoliopsida; Poales; Poaceae. The transcript has 3 exons.
UCCCAGACACUCCUGGAAACCCUAGCCCUUCUCCCACCCUCGCGCCGCCAUCUUCCUCCUCUCUCUGUGAACAAAACGAAGGGGAAAACCCCACAGUACCUCCUCCACCCACCAUGGCGCCGCCGCUACACACCACCCCUCGCCGUUCCGAGGGCACCAGGAGAUGCGCCUCGUCGUCCUCUACAUCCUGGUGCGAGGAAUCGUUCCGAAGCUUCACAAAUCGAGUGCAGCGUCGCCGAUUCCCCGAGUCGGUCGCCGUCCAUCUUCUUCAAUUCCGGCCACUCCGGCGAGCCCCUGGACUCCGUACCGCUACCAUCAUGUUCUCCGCAUCCAGGCGCAUCUUCGACACCAACCUGCUCGUCCCGAUUCGCUCCCAGUCGACGGAUCCAUGAACAACCAGAGUUCUUUUCCGCCAUGGCCUUCAUCCUGGAGCUCCGCGUUUGUUUGCUUCAUGUUGCCGCGCGCCCAUCUCUUGACACCAUCAUGUUAACAUCGCAGUGAUCUGCACCUGAUGGGCUUCAGCCCAGAUCGUCCCUCCCUUGGAGAAGCCCACCGUGCGCGCCGCAGUCAGUGAGCCAGCGCGGCGGGUAGCAGCCCAAUAUUCCCAGAUCCCCAUCCUGGUUCAAAAGAAAGUGUUUCCUCUCCUUGACAAGAUCCGAACAGCAGACCAGAUGAUCUCCCGCAGAUGGGCUCAGCCCACUUGCCCGCAAGCUUCUUCGCCACCUAGCGCGCGGCAGGCCUCUAUCCACCGCCGUCUCUGCGCAGGUCCGGCCCAAU